ACUCAAAUGAAUUGACGGGGGCUCACACAAGCGGUGGAGGAUGUGGUUUAAUUCGAAGCAACGCGCAGAACCUUACCAGGUCUUGACAUACCGGGAUUAACUUGGUGAAAGCCAGGGGAUUGCCAGCAAUGGUGUAACCGGAACAGGUGCUGCAUGGCUGUCGUCAGCUCGUGCCGUGAGGUGUUAGGUUAAGUCCUUUAACGAGCGAAACCCCUACGUCUAGUUACCAGCGCGUCAUGGCGGGGACUCUGGACGGACUGCCGCGCAAGCAGGAGGAAGGUGGGGACGACGUCAAGUCAUCAUGGCCUUUAUGACCUGGGCCACACACGUCCUACAAUGGGUGAUACAAAGGGAAGCCAAGCCGCAAGGUGGAGCCAAUCCCCGAAAGUCACCCUCAGUUCAGAUUGUGGGCUGCAAUUCGCCCACAUGAAGCUGGAAUCGCUAGUAAUCGCGGAUCAGCCACGCCGCGGUGAAUUUGUUCCUGAGCCUUGUACACACCGCCCGU
This 505-nucleotide ribosomal RNA is filed under the name uncultured bacterium. Its description in RNAcentral is "partial 16S ribosomal RNA". It matches the Rfam family "Bacterial small subunit ribosomal RNA", at positions 899 to 1397 of the family's 1533-position model. The record is from RNAcentral.